RNAcentral lists this ribosomal RNA (343 nucleotides) under uncultured bacterium. Its description in RNAcentral is "bacterial SSU rRNA". It matches the Rfam family "Bacterial small subunit ribosomal RNA", at positions 335 to 665 of the family's 1533-position model. The record is from RNAcentral.
ACUCCUACGGGAGGCAGCAGUGGGGAAUAUUGCACAAUGGGCGCAAGCCUGAUGCAGCCAUGCCGCGUGUAUGAAGAAGGCCUUCGGGUUGUAAAGUACUUUCAGCAGUGAGGAAGGUGGUAUGUUAAUAGUACAUAUUUCAUUUGACGUUUAGCUGCAGAAGAAGACACCGCGUAACUCCGUGCCAGCAGCCGCGGUAAUACGGAGGGUGCGAGCGUUAAUCGGAAUUACUGGGCGUAAAGCGCAUGCAGGUGGUUUGUUAAGUCAGAUGUGAAAGCCCGGGGCUCAACCUCGGAAUUGCAUUUGAACUUGGACAAACUAGAGUACUGUAGAGGGGGUAGAA